CUGGUCCUUGGGAUUUGAAUAGGUAAUGCUGGAUUUCUUAUUUUAGUAUUUCUUAUGUUUGUUAAGAUACAAUUGAAUAUACCUGUUUUUUCAUGCUAAGUUCAUUUGGGUUUUUCCUUGGGGUAGGGUGAUAAGGAGUAUCAGGAGUUGGUUCGGAAAUUGAACCAUCCCGGAAGGAUUCCUGAUCAAGUGGAGUCCCUUGUGAUGAGUUUAAAGGGUUUAUCUGGAGAUGUUACAUCUAUUGAUAUCGUUCGACAUGAGACGCUUCUACAAGAUGUAAGUUCGUGAGUUGAAUAUUUCCUCGCAGUCUCGCUGGUUAGUGCAACUUAUGAUCGUCGUUAUCACAGUUACAUUGUGUCAAUAAGACACUACCGUGCUCCUGAGGUUAUUCCUGGACUUGGAUGGAGUUACCUUUGUGAUAUUUGGAAUCUUGGUUGUAUCUCAAUUGAGCUAUGCUCGGGAGAGACAUUGUUUAAGGCGCACGAGAACUUAUAGCACCUGGCCAUGAUGGAGAGGAUAUUGAGGUCAAUACCAAGUCACAUGUUGAAGAGAGUUGGGUACGUGAUUUCAUCUUUUUAAGUUUUCUCUUGGUGGUUAUUUUUAAAAUGUUCCAUCUGGUAACUUGUCCAUUUCGUCGUCAAAUAUCAUGCCGAGAAAUAUACAAUUAUAUACAUAAACAAAGGAAGAUUGAAUUUCCCAGAGGGUGCGACAUCCAGGGAAAUCAUUAAAGCUGUUUCGAAGUUGCCACA
Long non-coding RNA from Papaver somniferum (opium poppy), 749 nucleotides. RefSeq lists it as uncharacterized. The record is from RefSeq and is a predicted model, not a curated record. The transcript has 4 exons. Lineage: Eukaryota; Viridiplantae; Streptophyta; Magnoliopsida; Ranunculales; Papaveraceae.